This is a long non-coding RNA of Herpailurus yagouaroundi (jaguarundi), 2763 nucleotides long. RefSeq lists it as uncharacterized. The transcript is spliced from 3 exons. NCBI's taxonomy places the organism in Eukaryota, Metazoa, Chordata, Mammalia, Carnivora, Felidae. The record is from RefSeq and is a predicted model, not a curated record.
CAGCACGGAGCCCGACGUGGGGGCUUGAACUCACAAAUCGCGAGAUCACGACCUGAGCCGACGUCGGACGUUUAACUGACUGAGCCACCCAGGCAGUAAAGGACUUUCCGUCCCCGGAGGCCUUGAGCAGAGCCAGGCUCCAGGAGCAGCAGCUGGAGACGCCCACAGCCCUAAUUGCUUCUCUGCACUAAGAGAACAUCCUCUCUCCAGUUCUGCUUAUUCCAUUCAUUUAGCCUCUGGUCUCUAGUAACCAUCCAGGAUUCGUGAAGACCAUCUGGGAGACACCUUCAAGGAUGUGCGAAGCCUGGAGCUCUCUCAGCUGGGAGCUGGGCCCUCGGUGGUCGGCCAGAGAGGACACCCUUGAACGGUCAGAUCGAUCCCCUCUUUGGAGGGACACUGGGGAAGGCUGUGGCCCAGGCGCGCUGCCCGCCAGGCUUCCCGUGGGUGGCGGGUGUAACUUUUCUUCCUGGUUCUCUCUGAGCCGCCAGCUCUGCUCCCCCAGCCCCGAGUGGCGGCUCCUUGGGCCGGAAACAAUGUGCUUUCUCCACGCCUGGGAGUGGAAGUCAGCAGUUUGGCACCGUCUGGCUGGCAGCCUCCACCGGCUUCCUUUGGCACUUUAUUGGCAAAGGCGGUGACAUUUCUUUCAGUUGGGUGGGUGGAGCUGUUAUGCAGACUCUCGCUCUCCUCAUUCGCCAGAUGAAUAUUCAUGACUCAGGCAAUCUGUACCAGCCAGACUUUCCUGAGGGCGGCAGCUUUUCUUCUCUUCCUCUCUCUCUUUUUCUUUCUCCUUCUCUCCUUCCCAGCUCUUUGGAAAGCUGGAGUACAGCUAUAUUUAAUUUACAAAUACGGAGCUAUUUAGCUUGCCUUUUGGGGUGCAGGCACUGGGGAGGAGAUGCCGGGGAUGGGAACAGUGGAAGCAUUUGGUCCCUGACCCUGGGCUUCCUGGUCCCAGUGUCCAGCCCCCAGGCCCCACAGCCUGGGAAGCCUUAUGGAUCCGGGGCUCCCUUUGAACUUGGCAUCUCGGUGCCUGCAUGCCCGAAGGUGCGGCAGCUCCGUGCCACCUCGUUCCGCGCUGGCUGCCGAGGUCAACGUGGACGUCUGAGACACUGGUGCCUUCCUGCCCAGUGCAUGGCAGACCCCAGCGAUAGAUGAACGCUCCCUUGGUCUCCCUACUGUGCUCUCCCGCUUGUCAAGGCCCACUCAGACCCUGCUCCAAGCCCUAGACAAAACCCCAGAAGGCACUGGGGCAUUUGCUAGUCAUUUCUUUCCUAGAGGAAGAACCAGUCCCUACUUGGGGUCCCCGUUCUCUGGGGAUACACCUGCUCCUUCCCUGGGAAGGGUGGCUACCUACUUUCUUUUGUCUCUUCCCAUAGAGGCACCAGAAACUCUGGCAAAGGGCUCAGAAUUUCCAGAAUUUGCCAGGGAAUUUGGUCUUAGCAAGGAUGUUCUCGUGUAUGUCUUGUGUGUGUGUGUGUGUGUAUGUAAAUAUUUACGCACAGCUUAAGUGAGUCUGUAUGCCUACAUCUAUGUUCGAGUGUUUGAGUGUGUGUCUGUAUGUGUAAGGGCGUGAAUGUGUAUGUGGCGGGAAGUCUGGGAAUGUCUGCAUGUGCGAAUGCGCCUCUCCAGUUAGAGUUGCGUAUGUAUCGUUGUGGGUCUGGGGUGUUGUGUGUCAAGGUGCUCCUGGCGGGGGGGGGGGGGGGGGGCAGAGGCUCGUCUGUGUAGUGUGUAUGUGUGCAUGUGCUAGUGAACUGUAAGAUGUGUGUACAAGUGUAUGUGUGCAUGAGAGUCUGGAGGAGAGAGAGAGAGAAAGAGAGAGAGAGAGAGAGAAUGAUUCCCCCUGACCUCCAUUCUCUCCCAAACCUCGCCGUCUAGGGAGGUGGGCGGCCCCCCCCCCCCCCACUUUGCAAGUGUUACAGAUUCUAUCCAAGGACGGGAACAGAAGGCUUCCCAGCACAGAGCGUCCUGAAAUUACUUUAUAUUCCCCCCUCCUUGUUUCAUCUAAUCAAAAUAGCGUUAGGCUCACCCAUUCUCCCUGCCCAUCCACUUAGCCCCGAGGGAGGGAGCGAAGCGGGCCAUCUUGUCUGACCUCCUCUGAGAGCACCUUGCAGCCCCAAGCCAAGGAGCUGUCUUCCAAAUCUCCUCGUUCCACGGCCCAUGCUUCAGUGGCAAGAGCCAGCUGCCUCCCUGCCUGCCAGCAACCGCCAAGCUCUUCCAGAACCCACAUCCAGGCUCAGCCUCAUUUACAAAUAUGCAAAUUUGCAUCUUUUCUGGUAUGCAAAUGGAGACAUGACAAAUAGCUAAUUAGGGUCAAAAGAAGCACUCUGAACCAAUUAGUUGUAGGGUCGAUUCCUUUCUGCUGGGAGGAGACUGGCCUCUCCUGCCCCCCUCCAUCCCUGGCUCCCCCAGGCCCACACACUCUGGCCUGUCCCGUCUGGCUGGGGCCAUGGACGGUCAAAGAGCACUGAAACAGGGGUUGUUGCUUGAAUCACAGUCCCACUCUGGGUGUUAGCUGUGUGACCCUGGACACACUCACCGGGACCUCGGUGUCUCCCUCUGUGAAACAGAGCAACGGCAGUGGCUGUCUUGCCCCUAAACCUCCACCCCAGUGUCGUGAGACUUUGGGGGGACUUGGAUGGCAAUAGCCUCUGGAAACUGUACUAAAAUGCCUCUGAUAGGCGCAUCACUUGUGUUCUUCCAAAGUAUUCUGCCCUUGAUUUCAUGUAAUCGUCACAUCCACCCUCUGAAUUAGAUGAAUUAGAUGUA